Molecule: ribosomal RNA, 253 nt
Filed under: uncultured bacterium
Lineage: Bacteria
Description: partial 16S ribosomal RNA
Rfam family: Bacterial small subunit ribosomal RNA
Source: RNAcentral
UACGAAGGGGGCUAGCGUUGCUCGGAAUCACUGGGCGUAAAGGGUGCGUAGGCGGGUCUUUAAGUCAGGGGUGAAAUCCUGGAGCUCAGCUCCAGAACUGCCUUUGAUACUGAGGAUCUUGAGUACGGGAGAGGUGAGUGGAACUGCGAGUGUAGAGGUGAAAUUCGUAGAUAUUCGCAAGAACACCAGUGGCGAAGGCGGCUCACUGGCCCGUUACUGACGCUGAGGCACGAAAGCGUGGGGAGCAAACAGG